RNAcentral lists this long non-coding RNA (1058 nucleotides) under Oryzias sinensis (Chinese medaka). Its description in RNAcentral is "lncRNA (ENSOSIG00000014873.1)". Lineage: Eukaryota; Metazoa; Chordata; Actinopteri; Beloniformes; Adrianichthyidae. The record is from RNAcentral.
ACAACAAAGAUGAUCAUCUUCCUGAUCCUGUCCGUUCGCAGCCGUCUAGCUGCAUGUCUGCAUUUAAAGCACGAAGAGAUCAUUUCUCAUUAAAAUGCAGGAGAAAACUAAGUUUUUCUGUAGAAAUGCAUUUUUAUUUCACUCUCUGUGUUCAUACAAAAUGAUUGAGAGACUUGCUGUCACAUUUGAACGUUUAUCAGAAGAGUUAUUGAAGCAGGAAGUGUGAAUCUGUGAAGGUCUUUUUAACUUGACCAAGUUCUCCGAAUCCAGCACUCUGAUUGGUUGACUCCGCCUCCUCUUACCCUCCUUCCCCCCCUAGUCCCAUUAUCGGACACAGAUCACUUUUGACCCAAGUUUCUCGCAAGGAAUGUGUCAGAAGUCAGAGCGCAGUUGUAGCGCACCUGUGAUUUGCGGCAGCAGAUUGGAGCCCACGCAGAAGCACAUUUGAGCAGUUGGAAUCACAGAUUUGAAGUUGUAACUCUAAAUGAACACAUGCAAAUGGAAAUUUGUCAGUUCACAGCAGAAGAUUUUUACACACAGAUGCAGAUUUUUGAUGCACAAGUAUUCAGAUUCUAUAUUACAAGUUCUCUAAUCAAAUCUACAAGUGCGUUCUUUUUGACACAUUUUUACCCUCAUACAAACGUCAACACUUUCCAUUCAACGACCGACAAGAAGAGCAUUUCAAAUAGAGAAGGUGUGGAGAAAAGACAGACGUGCAAUGUAGCCAGUUCUCUGAGCGAGUCCUCAUGAGAGACAUGCUACAUGUGUCAAGCAGGACAGACGUGGGAUUAAAGGGGAGGAGGAGCAGAACUGAAGAUCAAAGUUAGAAGAUGCAGAAAAACAGGAGAAAAUGAACCACCUGGAAGAUCUACCUGGAAGAACAUCCACCUAGAAGAACAUCCAUCUGGAAGAACAUCCACCUGGAAGAACAUCCACCUAGAAGAACAUCCACCUGGAAGAACAUCCACCUGGAAGAACACCCACCUGGAAGCAUUUGUUCCAAUCCAAUGGCUGACCCCCCCCCCCCCCCCCACACACACACACACAGAAUGGAACCA